Molecule: transfer RNA, 60 nt
Filed under: Mesocricetus auratus (golden hamster)
Lineage: Eukaryota; Metazoa; Chordata; Mammalia; Rodentia; Cricetidae
Rfam family: tRNA
About the family: Transfer RNA (tRNA) molecules are approximately 80 nucleotides in length. Their secondary structure includes four short double-helical elements and three loops (D, anti-codon, and T loops). Further hydrogen bonds mediate the characteristic L-shaped molecular structure. tRNAs have two regions of fundamental functional importance: the anti-codon, which is responsible for specific mRNA codon recognition, and the 3' end, to which the tRNAs corresponding amino acid is attached (by aminoacyl-tRNA synthetases). tRNAs cope with the degeneracy of the genetic code in two manners: having more than one tRNA (with a specific anti-codon) for a particular amino acid; and 'wobble' base-pairing, i.e. permitting non-standard base-pairing at the 3rd anti-codon position.
Source: Rfam by way of RNAcentral
GUGGCUCAGUUGCUAGAGCGCUUGCCUGGUGUGCAAGAGGCUCUGAGUUCGAUCCCAAGC